UGCAAGUCGAACGGACCUUAUGUGCUUGCACAUAAGGUUAGUGGCAGACGGGUGAGUAACGCGUGGGAAUGUACCCCUUGGUUCGGAAUAACGUUUGGAAACGGACGCUAAUACUGGAUACGUCCGAAAGGAGAAAGAUUUAUUGCCGAGGGAGCGGCCCGCGUUGGAUUAGGUAGUUGGUGAGGUAAAGGCUCACCAAGCCGAUGAUCCAUAGCUGGUUUGAGAGGAUGAUCAGCCACACUGGGACUGAGACACGGCCCAGACUCCUACGGGAGGCAGCAGUGGGGAAUAUUGGACAAUGGGGGCAACCCUGAUCCAGCAAUGCCGCGUGAGUGAUGAAGGCCUUCGGGUUGUAAAGCUCUUUUGUCAGGGACGAUAAUGACGGUACCUGACGAAUAAGCUCCGGCUAACUUCGUGCCAGCAGCCGCGGUAAUACGAAGGGAGCUAGCGUUGUUCGGAAUUACUGGGCGUAAAGGGCGCGUAGGCGGUCUUAUAAGUUUGGUGUGAAAGCCCUGGGCUUAACCUAGGAAUAGCAUUGGAUACUGUAAGACUUGAGACCGAGAGAGGGAAAUGGAAUUGCGAGUGU
RNAcentral lists this ribosomal RNA (586 nucleotides) under uncultured Alphaproteobacteria bacterium. RNAcentral's name for it is "bacterial SSU rRNA". It matches the Rfam family "Bacterial small subunit ribosomal RNA", at positions 56 to 676 of the family's 1533-position model. Lineage: Bacteria; Pseudomonadati; Pseudomonadota; Alphaproteobacteria. The record is from RNAcentral.